UACGUAGGCAGCAAGCGUUGUUCGGAGUUACUGGGCGUAAAGCGUGCGCAGGCGGUGAUGUAAGGCAGAUGUGAAAUCCCCGGGCUCAACCUGGGAACUGCAUUUGUGACUGCAUCGCUGGAGUGCGGCAGAGGGGGAUGGAAUUCCGCGUGUAGCAGUGAAAUGCGUAGAUAUGCGGAGGAACACCGAUGGCGAAGGCAAUCCCCUGGGCCUGCACUGACGCUCAUGCACGAAAGCGUGGGGAGCAAACAGG
RNAcentral lists this ribosomal RNA (253 nucleotides) under uncultured bacterium. RNAcentral describes it as "partial 16S ribosomal RNA". It matches the Rfam family "Bacterial small subunit ribosomal RNA", at positions 524 to 776 of the family's 1533-position model. The record is from RNAcentral.